This 2311-nucleotide long non-coding RNA is filed under the name Daphnia pulex (common water flea). RNAcentral's name for it is "uncharacterized LOC124202988, transcript variant X1". Lineage: Eukaryota; Metazoa; Arthropoda; Branchiopoda; Diplostraca; Daphniidae. The record is from RNAcentral.
GCAAGUUUUUCUUGUGCAGGUGUUAUACCUGUCAUCAUCAACAAUCUCAGGAUCAUCGCUUGGAUAAAAUGCAUCCCAUCGCAUUGGGAAAUUAUCUACCGAUGUCAAUGUCUUCGUGUACGGCUGUACGUCCAUGUGAAUGUGGGUUCGCGAGGACACCCUUUAUACCCUAUCCCGUCUGGUGGAAUUCAACUCUUCAUCGGGUGGAUGGAGCAACUGUAAAUGCCUGGCUGUAUUUCCCAGUCAUAAAGGACGACGCUGCUGAGCUGCUGGAUCGAUCUCAUUAUGUAUACCCGGUAACCCCCUCCGCUCCCCUCUUUCGGCAGUAAAUGAAAUACACCGAUUGGAAAAGCGGAUGGGCUCCCGCGCGCUCCGCCAAACGACUUUUCUCUGCUCAAAAUUUAAUGAGGUUUUUGCGGAUUCUGAUUGAAUGCCAGCAUUUCAAUGGAUCCUGCUGCUGCUGCUGCGAGUCAUUUUUGUUUACGUGGCGUUUGCCGUCAUCGAUGAUGGCCGCCGGAAGCUGAUUGAAAGCGAAAGAAAAUCCACGAAGAACAUUUGGAACUGUUUCGUAUUGUAUUCCCGUUGAAUGAUGUGUUAAAUACCAGCGUUCAUGGCGCCACGUGCCUAUUGUACAUGAAAGGCGACGUAAACAGUUUUGUCCGAGACCGAGGACGAGACUUACGUCAAUUUGCAACUUGGACAAGCACAACAAAAUCACAGUGAAACUCCGUCUCCAGCAAGUGUGUGUCGCUAUUAACAUUAAUUCGGUUGACAACGAUUGAUACCACAUUUUCCAGUGAGUGUAUAGAAAAUAGCAAAAGUUCUUUUCUACUCUGAAGAUCUUUUCUUUCAUCUUUUCAGGACAGACAGCUAAAAAAGCUUGUUUAUUGAUUUGAAAGAAAAAAACCGCCGAGUACGCUUGCUAUAGCUAUUCACUUUCAUCAGUCGUCGCUAGAUGGAAGGUAGCACAUUUGGAGGGCGGAGUCAUGGCGGUCAUGGCGGAGUGCAAUGUGCAAGAAGAACAGAUUUUCUGAUGGCUAUAAUUUGCUCUAAACAAUGGAAUGUACAUGGCUCAUUUUAUCGUCACUCUGGGAGGUGGACAUGUUACAAAAUUUUUCCAUAAGAAUGCAGUCAACUAUUAUCAAAUCAAUUACUAGAUGACCUUUUUAUAUCUUCCUUUUUACUCCUAUCAUUUGGGUUUAUUGUGACGAACUGACAGGUGGCUGGUGGCAGAAAGCAUUUGACAGUAGCUAUCCAAAAUAAGCAACUUGUGUGUGUUACGUUUCGGAUGGUUUCAAUUCGGACUAGCCCGGUGCAUCAGUGGGCCUUCUUCAGACAAACCCAGAUUAUGGUGGACCGGAAAUUCCAGAAUCGGAUGAGAUAUCUCGCGGUGACAGUAGAACAGGAUGCAUAUUCGGAAGUCAGCACAUCAAGACUCGGAAACGUUUGUCGGUUCUUUCGUUGCCGACGUCGGCUGCCUUGACUGAGUUGCUACCUGGACGCUUCCCGACUCUUCACUCGCUUCGACGACGACAAAGAUCCUAUCGACUAAUUUUUAUGCUGAAAGACUUGGAAACCAUGCUGUCGCCCACGUCGAGAAGCUGAGUAACAUUCUGCUUUUACAAUGGCACCUCUUAAUAAAAGGAACUUAAGCCAUCCAGUCUAGGGCUUCCAUCAAAUCGUGCAGGCUGCAUGGAAGUCGGAUUUACCUUUGCUGUGAACAUCAUGAACACAUACACUAUUUGAAGGUUCAUGUUUACGUAGCAGUGAUGUUGCUGUCCAAUGUGGCGUGUUGUUGCAGCCUAUGGUGGUGAAAGAUAUCUGCAUCAAGUUGCUGUUCCUUGUGCAUCCAAGGUGCUGGUUUUGUGCUACAGAAGUGACAUCCAAUAUUGUGUUUAAUUGCUAUUUGUGUCUUUGCAGUUAACCUUUAUAUAUUGAGAAGGAACAAAAAAAAAAUAGUAGAUGGGGAGAUUUAUGUCAACCAAAUAAUAAACAUGUCCAGGAUGGGGGAAUGAGGAGGAAGUUGGGGUGGGGUAUUUGGUUAUGAUUUACUAAAAGAAGUGAGGUAUAUUUUUAAUUAAUGAAUAUGCAGUACUUGGUGAUAAAAUAUGUUAUUAACCUAUACAUUACUGUCAACCUAUACCUUCCCCACUUCCACUUACCCAUUCCCCAAACCCCAUAAGCACCAAAAUCAAAUCCCACAUCCACUCACAUCUAUUCCUAAAACCCCACAAUCUCCAACAUCAAAUUCACACAUUUAAAUAUCUGUAAUCAAAAUAAAAACCAUCAAAUAAACAUGGUGUAAACUAUA